Molecule: ribosomal RNA, 303 nt
Filed under: uncultured bacterium
Lineage: Bacteria
Description: partial 16S ribosomal RNA
Rfam family: Bacterial small subunit ribosomal RNA
Source: RNAcentral
AGCAGUAGCCGCGGGAAUACGUAGGUGGCAAGCGUUGUCCGGAAUUAUUAGGCGUAAAGCGCGCGCAGGUGGUUUAAUAAGUCUGAUGUGAAAGCCCACGGCUCAACCGUGGAGGGUCAUUGGAAACUGUUAAACUUGAGUGCAGGAGAGAAAAGUGGAAUUCCUAGUGUGGCGGUGAAAUGCGUAGAGAUUAGGAGGAACACCAGCGGCGAAGGCGGCUUUUUGGCCUGUAACUGACACUGAGGCGCGAAAGCGUGGGGAGCAAACAGGAUUAGAGACCCGCGUAGUCCCUGUCUCUUAUAC